This 492-nucleotide ribosomal RNA is filed under the name uncultured bacterium. RNAcentral's name for it is "partial 16S ribosomal RNA". It matches the Rfam family "Bacterial small subunit ribosomal RNA", at positions 29 to 507 of the family's 1533-position model. The record is from RNAcentral.
AGUGAACGCUGGCGGUAGGCCUAACACAUGCAAGUCGAACGGCAGCACAGUCCGAGCUUGCUCUUACGUUUGGCGAGUGGCGCACGGGUGAGGAAUACAUCGGAAUCUACUUUUUCGUGGGGGAUAACGUAGGGAAACUUACGCUAAUACCGCAUACGACCUACGGCUGAAAGCAGGCGAUCUUCCGACCUUGCGCGCUUCAAUGAGCCGAUGUCGGAUUAGCUAGUUAGCUGGGUAAAGGCCCACCAAGGCGACGGAUCGUAUCUGGUCUGGUAAGAUGAUAAGCCAAACUGGAACUGAGACACGGUACUGGCUCCAAAGGAAGGCAGAAGUGGAGAAUAUUGGACAAUGGGAGCAAGCCUGAGCAAGACAUACCGCGUGGGUGAGAAAGACCUUCGGGUUGUAAAGACAUUUUGUUGGGAAAGAAAAGCAGAAGGUUAAUAACCGGCUGUUAUGACGGUACCAAAAGAAUAAGAACAGGCUAACUUCGUG